GAUCUGUAAAAGAUGGCAGCAACAAAUGUGGUUCACGGCUGACUGGUUGACCUUGGCAGUGACUGAGAAAGUCAAUAUUUAAAGAGCAAUUUUUUUUCCCUCUGGUAAGAAGUGAUAGUGCUGUUGGAAGGUGAGGGAAGGGGGGCAAGAUACUGCAUGAAACCUUCAUUUUGUGAUAUGGAAGAUGUUCUCAGUGUAAAACCACUGAGUCCCAGGACUGCCUGUUUCCCAUGUUGUUCUGGAGUUCACUAAACAGUUCUGGAACCUGGGACGUCUAAGUACAUGACUUUCAAAAUAGGAAAGGCUUACGUGGAGUUCCUCUGCCUCUUUACAGUGUCUGCCUUUCUGAUGGCACCAUUCCCACAGUGAAUGGUGCCUACCAUUUACUAUCUACCACCUGACCAUGGGCACAGUCAGCUUUCAGCUUCAGCUCUUUUAUUGUCUACUUUCUAUUGAUGAGGAAUCUGGAGCCCAGGGAAGUAGAAUGAAGAACCUACAGUCUUGGGCAGGGACACAUUUCUCCCUUAAGCCUCUUGGUUCCAAUCUCACCUCUGGCUUUGUGCAGCAGACUGACCUGCUUCAUGGCCCUGCAUUCUGGUAUUAUUGCUGAAACAAAACUGCUCUGUGAACUGCAGGAAGCCAAGUUUUUGCAGGAAACACCACAUGGCUUCAAAACCUUACCAUGCUGAUUUAGUCCUCAAGGCAGUGGUUGGUUGUGAAGAAAGGAAUUAGAAAUAUUCCUAGGGCAUUUCAAUCUGUAGUUAAUGGAGGACUUCUAUUUUGAGAGUUAAAACCAGAUCUGAAGGAUAACAAGUUGUAGCCAGGGAUCUCAUCCCAAGGAAAUGUGAAAUGGUAAUCAUUUCUCAGAGAACUGGAAACCCUAGCCCUCUCUGUUCUUAGAGGCACGAGGCUAGAGCCAAUCCACCAGCAAGAAGAGCCAUUCCUAGCUGAACCCAAGAAGGAGCUGCCAGGAUCUGAACUCUCAUCUUUGCCUCCUUAGUUCUCCCAUCCCACACCACUUGUGCCAAGUCUGGUCAAUUUCCUGUGGGAUCAUUGAUACAUAGGAAUUCUUUGUUACUACUUUUUUUUUUUUUUUUUUUUUGCUUCACUUGAAAAUAACUAAGGAUAAACAAAAAAACAACAGUAUAUGCUGUUUCUGUUCCAGAGUCAUGUGCAUUUUAUUCUAAAUGACAGUAUUUAACAACAAAAUUGCUUCAUUUCAACCUCAUUGCAUUUCUUCAAGUGGGAGUACUAUAAUUUAAAAAUAAUAAAUGCAACAGAGUGAAUAUAUUGCUUUCAUUAAUCCCCAAUACUGCUUAUUUUCAGCACUUUUAAAUUAUUUGGGUGUGCUCAAUAGAUUUAGUUGAAGUGGAAAAAAAUCAUUCAAAUUUCAGACCAUUUGCAAUUAUCAAUUUAUCUGCUGUUUUCCAGCCAAGUAACUGAACUUCAGAGUAGCAUUUAGUUUGAAUGAUUUCCUCCCUACCCCCUGCCUGGUAUGAAACAGUGAAUUAGUCAAGUAAAAAUGUCUGUGGAAUUGAAGAUGCUAUAAACAAGGGCAUCAUAUACUCUGAAUUAUCAGCCAGCACAGGUGAUGUUGAUUGCAUGUCAUGGUGUCCCAAGGACAUCCAGAGUGACAGUGGAAACUUUCUGUCUCUAUGCCCAAAGUGAAGUGAAGAAUUAAGGCAGUAAUCUGAACAUUUCUCUUCUAACCUGCCCUUUGCUUGAUUCCCAAGAAUUUAAAGGAAAAUAUGAAAUUUUAAGGUCUUUAAGUACUAGAACUUAAGCACUAAAUUGCCAGAUAAAAUACAGGAUGCCCCCAUUAGAUUUGAAUUUCAGAUAAACAGUGAAUACUUUUUUAGUGUAACUCUGUCCCAAAUAUUGUACCAUGCCUGUAUUUUUAUCUGCUAUAUCUGGCAACCCUUUUGAGGAUCAAGACCCUGCAUCUUGUUAAUUUGCAUGUUUUUUUGUUUUUUUUUUAAUAUGGCAUGGUAGUGACUAAUUGUAGUAGUUGGAAUUUAUUGAGUGAUUACUAUAUGCCAAGCAUUAUCCUACAUGCUUUACAUUUAUGAUCAUCUGGCCCACACAACAGUUCUGUCAGUUAAGUGUACCGUUGUCUCAUUUUACACAUACAGAAAGAUGAGGCUUAGAGAGGUAAAGGUACUUGCCUAAGAUUGCCACAAAUGUGUGGUUUUAGAGAGUGGUAGCUGGAGUCAGUACAAAGCCCUUUCUGAUUUCACUAUGCCAUUAUGCCUUCUAAUUAAAUGAAAACAAAUGACCAGUUGCAGAUAAGAUCAUGUAUCUCUCUAACUUUUCUUUAAGGACCAGUUGCAGAUAAGAUCAUGUAUCUCUCUAACUUUUCUUUAAGGAUACAAAUACAGUCCUAAAUUCAUAUGGACAUAUUCAAGGUUGAGUUUUGCAGUGUAUAUAUUAAGGCAUACAUGCAGAACUCAUCUUACUGGCAAAUGGACUGACCCAUCCCCUAUUAUUAAAAGGAAACUCAUGUGGCAAGAUAUAAAUUGAAGGUAUGAAAUGCAAUGGCAGUAAUUGGACAGAACUUCAAAUGAGUGAAAGCAGCUUCCAACAAUUAGUUGUUUUGAACCCAGUAAAAUUCCUGUUAUUUCACUUAAUUUUAAACUCAUUAUGGGUUGCCCUGAGGUAUUUAAAUUUAAUUUGGGGGUUUUUGAAUUGUGGAUUUGCUUAAAUGUAGGCUUCAUCUCCUAAUUGGUUAAUGAGCAAGUGCAUUUGCAAAUGGGCCAGAUUCCACGCUGAGGGUCUCAUCAUAACAUUUCUUCUUAAAUAUCUAUUGCAUGUAAUUAUUGAAAAGAUGAUGAAACAUUUUGAAAAAAUUCAAGAGAAAACAGCACCCACGACAGAGCACAAUCAUUUUCAUUUUUGCAUAUUCCUUUCCUGUUACUGAUUUCUGAAGUGGCCAGAACUGAUAGAGAUUCCACGGAGCUUGUUAGAAAUGAAUUCAUGAUUUUUGUCAAGAAGAAACUGCCUACUUAGAAGAAAAGGCAGAUGAGGAAAGAAAAUGUCUUGCAAUUCAAAGCAAUUCUGUUUUUUAUUCUUUUUUUUUUUUUUAAUUCCCUAAACAGGACAUGCAGUGAAGUGUUAAGCAGUUUUUUCCUUUCUCACUAUAAUUAUUCCUUUGACUUCAGAGGUACUGUGGAGAUGCGAAUUGAUUUCUGGAUUCUGAGAUCAAGGUCAGGCACCUGCCAUAGAAUUAACUGAGACUGACACUAGGUGGGACUCCUUGGUUUUCCCAGGACUCAUUUAUUGAGCGGUACUAGGUUAAGUAGUAGAAAUACACACACACACACACACACACACACACACACACACACACUGAACUAGAAUUUACCAUGCUGUGACAGAAGGUGGCGCAGCGGUUUGGCGCCUGCCUUUGGCCCAGGGCGCGAUCCUGGAGAUCUGGGAUCGAAUCCCACAUCAGGCUCCCGGUGCAUGGAGCCUGCUUCUCUCUCUGCCUCUCUCUCUCGCUCUCUCUCUGUGACUAUCAUAAAUGAAUAAAAAAUUAAAAAAAAAAAAAGAAGUCUGAAUUAUUGUAGACAGAUAGCAGUGUGGUGCUGAUG
Molecule: long non-coding RNA, 3590 nt
Organism: Canis lupus familiaris (dog)
Lineage: Eukaryota; Metazoa; Chordata; Mammalia; Carnivora; Canidae
Exons: 6
Source: RefSeq, a predicted model, not a curated record